Molecule: long non-coding RNA, 507 nt
Filed under: Zostera marina
Lineage: Eukaryota; Viridiplantae; Streptophyta; Magnoliopsida; Alismatales; Zosteraceae
Description: long non-coding RNA (ZMAR_LNC002613)
Source: RNAcentral
UGGGAUCUAGGCACCACAGUGAGGUGGCUAAUCGGUUGAGAAUCAAGUGCCAGAUCCCUAGAUUCGUUCCAAGUGAGUGUUUGGGGACGAAUUAUCCAAUUAACGAACAUUCUAAAAUCUAAAUCCUAACUAAACUGUUUAGGGGACUGGGAAUGAGAAUAAUGUCGGAAGUCUUCAAAGAUUGGGAACCAUCCAACCUGAUGAACAUGAAUCUUCAGGGAAAUCAUUUUCUUGCUUUGAAGUGAGUGAUUUUGUAUUUUUGUGUAAUAAGAAUAAUGCAUCUUCUUCUAUAUGAAGUGUUCCCUAUUUAUAGGGUUUUCUGGGGUUUCCUUCUUUGUCUUGCGAAGUCAUUCAGUCUAGUUCAGUCUAGUCCAAUCCUGGUAUUUCCAAUGAUUCAAUCUGAGAGAUUAUAAUAAAAGGGGGGAAUCAUUCUGCAAUGGAUCCAUUUAAUGGAUCAUAGACUCCAAUCUCUAUUCCCCAAUGAAGUUUUGGCUCAACUUUUGUUUC